This 305-nucleotide ribosomal RNA is filed under the name uncultured bacterium. RNAcentral's name for it is "bacterial SSU rRNA". It matches the Rfam family "Bacterial small subunit ribosomal RNA", at positions 337 to 639 of the family's 1533-position model. The record is from RNAcentral.
GCCUACGGGGGGCAGCAGUGAGGAAUAUUGGUCAAUGGCCGAGAGGCUGAACCAGCCAAGUCGCGUGAGGGAUGACGGCCCUACGGGUUGUAAACCUCUUUUGUCGGGGAGCGAGACCCGCCUCGUGCAGGCGGAGCGAGAGUACCCGAAGAAAAAGCAUCGGCUAACUCCGUGCCAGCAGCCGCGGUAAUACGGAGGAUGCGAGCGUUAUCCGGAUUUAUUGGGUUUAAAGGGUGCGUAGGCGGAUUUUUAAGUCAGCGGUAAAAUGUCCGGGCUCAACCCGGGCCGGCCGUUGAAACUGGGGG